AUUGAACGCUCGCGGGAUGCUUUACACAUGCAAGUCGAACGGCAGCGCGGACUUCGGUCUGGCGGCGAGUGGCGAACGGGUGAGUAAUGUAUCGGAACGUGCCCAGUAGCGGGGGAUAACUACGCGAAAGCGUAGCUAAUACCGCAUACGCCCUACGGGGGAAAGCAGAGGAUCGUAAGACCUUGCACUAUUGGAGCGGCCGAUAUCGGAUUAGCUAGUUGGUGAGGUAACGGCUCACCAAGGCGACGAUCCGUAGCUGGUUUGAGAGGACGACCAGCCACACUGGGACUGAGACACGGCCCAGACUCCUACGGGAGGCAGCAGUGGGGAAUUUUGGACAAUGGGGGCAACCCUGAUCCAGCCAUCCCGCGUGUGCGAUGAAGGCCUUCGGGUUGUAAAGCACUUUUGGCAGGAAAGAAACGUCGCGGGCUAAUACCCCGUGGAACUGACGGUACCUGCAGAAUAAGCACCGGCUAACUACGUG
This 484-nucleotide ribosomal RNA is filed under the name uncultured bacterium. Its description in RNAcentral is "partial 16S ribosomal RNA". It matches the Rfam family "Bacterial small subunit ribosomal RNA", at positions 30 to 507 of the family's 1533-position model. The record is from RNAcentral.